UACGGAGGGUGCAAGCGUUAUUCGGAAUUAUUGGGCGUAAAGAGCGCGUAGGCGGCUUUGCAAGUCAGGUGUGAAAUCCCGGGGCUCAACCCCGGAAGAGCAUUUGAUACUGUGGAGCUUGAGUAUGGGAGAGGGAAGUGGAAUUCCUGGUGUAGCGGUGAAAUGCGUAGAUAUCAGGAGGAACACCGGUGGCGAAGGCGGCUUCCUGGACCAAUACUGACGCUGAGGCGCGAAGGCGUGGGGAGCAAACAGGAUUAGAUACCCGUGUA
Molecule: ribosomal RNA, 269 nt
Filed under: uncultured prokaryote
Description: partial 16S ribosomal RNA
Rfam family: Bacterial small subunit ribosomal RNA
Source: RNAcentral